This 496-nucleotide ribosomal RNA is filed under the name uncultured bacterium. Its description in RNAcentral is "partial 16S ribosomal RNA". It matches the Rfam family "Bacterial small subunit ribosomal RNA", at positions 28 to 506 of the family's 1533-position model. The record is from RNAcentral.
GACGAACGCUGGCGGCGUGCCUAAUACAUGCAAGUUGAGCGAUGAAGAUUGGUGCUUGCACCAAUUUGAAGAGCAGCGAACGGGUGAGUAACGCGUGGGGAAUCUGCCUUUGAGCGGGGGACAACAUUUGGAAACGAAUGCUAAUACCGCAUAACAACUUUAAACAUAAGUUUUAAGUUUGAAAGAUGCAAUUGCAUCACUCAAAGAUGAUCCCGCGUUGUAUUAGCUAGUUGGUGAGGUAAAGGCUCACCAAGGCGAUGAUACAUAGCCGACCUGAGAGGGUGAUCGGCCACAUUGGAACUGAGACACGGCCCAAACUCCUACGGGAGGCAGCAGUAGGGAAUCUUCGGCAAUGGACGAAAGUCUGACCGAGCAACGCCGCGUGAGUGAAGAAGGUUUUCGGAUCGUAAAACUCUGUUGGUAGAGAAGAACGUUGGUGAGAGUGGAAAGCUCAUCAAGUGACGGUAACUACCCAGAAAGGGACGGCUAACUACGU